RNAcentral lists this ribosomal RNA (250 nucleotides) under uncultured bacterium. Its description in RNAcentral is "partial 16S ribosomal RNA". It matches the Rfam family "Bacterial small subunit ribosomal RNA", at positions 102 to 353 of the family's 1533-position model. The record is from RNAcentral.
ACGGGUGAGUAAUGUCUGGGAAACUGCCUGAUGGAGGGGGAUAACUACUGGAAACGGUAGCUAAUACCGCAUAACGUCGCAAGACCAAANAGGGGGACCUUCGGGCCUCUUGCCAUCGGAUGUGCCCAGAUGGGAUUAGCUAGUAGGUGGGGUAACGGCUCACCUAGGCGACGAUCCCUAGCUGGUCUGAGAGGAUGACCAGCCACACUGGAACUGAGACACGGUCCAGACUCCUACGGGAGGCAGCAUG